Molecule: ribosomal RNA, 400 nt
Filed under: uncultured bacterium
Lineage: Bacteria
Description: bacterial SSU rRNA
Rfam family: Bacterial small subunit ribosomal RNA
Source: RNAcentral
UGGGGAAUAUUGGACAAUGGGCGCAAGCCUGAUCCAGCCAUGCCGCGUGGAUGAUGAAGGCCUUCGGGUUGUAAACCUCUUUUCUCAGGGAAGAUGAUGACGGUACCUGAGGAAGAAGCCACGGCUAACUACGUGCCAGCAGCCGCGGUAAUACGUAGGUGGCAAGCGUUGUCCGGAUUUACUGGGCGUAAAGAGCGCGCAGGCGGUCGUUCAAGUCGAGUGUGAAAGCCCCCGGCUCAACUGGGGAGGGUCACUCGAUACUGAUCGACUCGAAGGCAGGAGAGGGAAGUGGAAUUCCCGGUGUAGUGGUGAAAUGCGUAGAUAUCGGGAGGAACACCAGUGGCGAAGGCGACUUCCUGGCCUGUUCUUGACGCUGAGGCGCGAAAGCUAGGGUAGCGAA